Molecule: long non-coding RNA, 1876 nt
Filed under: Canis lupus dingo (dingo)
Lineage: Eukaryota; Metazoa; Chordata; Mammalia; Carnivora; Canidae
Description: lncRNA (ENSCAFG00020010974.1)
Rfam family: tRNA (bases 1695-1777)
Source: RNAcentral
CGGGUCGGCCGGGCAGUCGUGCGCCCCCCGGCGGGGGCUCUGUCCGCGGAAGGCCCCGGACCUGGGGGACCCAGCAGCGGCGCGUGCGGGUCAGGUGGGGAGCGCGACGUCCGACGCUCGGCGUCCACGCUCGCCGUCCUGGAGAAGGACGUCCCUGUCGCGAAGCCGUUCGCAGCGCGCGGCCCUGGGGGCGCGCUCAGCUACCCGCUAGGAAAGGUGUCCCGCGGAGGUUGCCCUGGCAGCUGUGGCUCUCCAAUCUACGCCAAAGUCCUGCUGGAGGUCUUGAGAUGAGCAGUGUCUCUGCGUGGUGGCUGGAUAUCAAGCUCUCCAGGAGUGAACAUUUGCAGUCCUUGAACGGCAAGUCCUGGUGUCCAUGAAAUACCUAUAAGUGGAUGUGUUGAAGUCUGUGUGGUGUUUGGAUAUGAAAUCCCAGAGACAGUCUCUGCUAAACAGAUCUUUCACACUUCCAGAAUUUUCCCAGUGUGCGAGCACACUCUGGCAGUCUUCCAGAGCACUUUCUGGAUUAAUUUCUCUGAGUCUUCUCCAUAGCAGAGCUUGAACUCCUGUGCAGAUGAGGACAUGCCUGACCUUGCUUGCCUUCAGGAAGUGGAGUCAGAGUUGUCCUUACAGAGGCCAAAAGAGCUUAUCCUACCCUACAGGCAUUUUUGUAUUCUAAUAGAGCUUUUCCACCUCUAAUCACACUAACAAUUUAGUCAACCCUGCAAAAGAUAUGGGAAAAAAAUUUUAAAACAAAGCCAAAACACUUUGCCUUUGACUCAUUUCAAUGUAAGUUACUCACUAAGUCUGUUUUUAGCCAGGGUUCCCUGUGUCAUUCUGCAUUUCUUUUCCCCCUGUAAAUCACUGGAAGGGAAGAAGCCACAAGAUACAUUACAUAUGCAGACAUUUUCUUAAAAAGCCCUCAAAUGUCUCUGAAAGUUAGCUUAGUAUUUUGAUUCAAAAUGCUGUUUUUGUAGCACUUCACAGCAAGAAAACAGGAAAUUAAGACAAUCUGAACUGCUGAAAGGGCAAGAAGAAACUAACCAGUAGGUUCCAACUAAUCCAGGUGCUUCAGGAAAAGACCCCGCCCACAACCUCUACCAGUUCAGACUGCCUUGACUCAGGACAAAGAACUUUCCUCUCUACCCCCAGGCCAAUUUGCUCUGUUCUCAGACAGCUUUCAAAUUUUAUUGAUUCAGGGAGCUGUGUAGGGACAACAUACUAAACCCAUUUCAUUGCUGAGGAAGUUUUGGGGAGGAAAAUCCUCCUGAAAGUGCAGGUGAGGCUAGAUGCUGAGGACUAAGAAUGCCUCCACAGAGUGAUGUCAGGCUACCUGCUGUUAGAGCCCCAUUGCCUCAGGUAGACUGUUUUCCUUUCCCUUCCAACGUGAAUCAAAUUCCCAGUACCAAAGUAGCUUCUUUGAAUUAGAGCUGUGGUUCUCAAACUUUAGAGUGCAUCAAAAUCACUCAGAGGGUUUAUUAAAACAAAGAUUGCUGGGCCCCUGACUCAUCACUCAUUAGGUCUAUGGUGAAGCCUCACAAAUUGCGUUUCUAAGAAGUUCCCAGAUGUUGCUCAUGCUGUUGGCCCUGGGGCCACACUUUGAGAGCCAAUGAAUUAGGGUAUUAUGAAGACUGACUUCACAAUGCACAUAUCCUGGAAGUAGCAUGCUAAAAUGUUAAUAACUGACACAUGGGGGCGCCUACAUGGCUCAGCGGUUGAGCAUCUGUCUUGCGCUCAGGUUGUGAUCCCCGGGUCCUGGGAUCGAGUCCCAGAUCAGGCUCCCCGGAGGGAGCCUGCUUCUCCUUCUGCCUAUUUCUCUUCCUCUUUCUGUGUGUCUCUCAUAAAUAAAUAAAUAAAACCUUAAAAAAUAAUAACUGAC